RNAcentral lists this ribosomal RNA (433 nucleotides) under uncultured bacterium. RNAcentral describes it as "partial 16S ribosomal RNA". It matches the Rfam family "Bacterial small subunit ribosomal RNA", at positions 29 to 507 of the family's 1533-position model. The record is from RNAcentral.
AACGAACGCUGGCGGCAGGCCUAACACAUGCAAGUCGAGCGCGCCCUUCGGGGUGAGCGGCGGACGGGCGAGUAACGCGUGGGAACGUGCCCUUCUCUGCGGAAUAGCCUCGGGAAACUGAGAGUAAUACCGCAUACGCCCUUUGGGGGAAAGAUUUAUCGGAGAAGGAUCGGCCCGCGUUGGAUUAGGUAGUUGGUGGGGUAAUGGCCCACCAAGCCGACGAUCCAUAGCUGGUUUGAGAGGAUGAUCAGCCACACUGGGACUGAGACACGGCCCAGCCUCCUACGGGAGGCAGCAGUGGGGAAUCUUAGACAAUGGGGGCAACCCUGAUCUAGCCAUGCCGCGUGAGUGAUGAAGGCCUUAGGGUUGUAAAGCUCUUUCAGCUGGGAAGAUAAUGACGGUACCAGCAGAAGAAGCCCCGGCUAACUCCGUG